GAUGAAGAACGCAGCGAAAUGCGAUAAGUAGUGUGAAUUGCAGAAUUCAGUGAAUCAUCGAAUCUUUGAACGCACAUUGCGCCCCUUGGUAUUCCAUGGGGCAUGCCUGUUCGAGCGUCAUUUGUACCUUCAAGUUCUGCUUGGUGUUGGGUGUUUGUCUCGCCUCUGCGUGUAGACUCGCCUCAAAACAAUUGGCAGCCGGCGUAUUGAUUUCGGAGCGCAGUACAUCUCGCGCUUUGCACUCAUAACGACGACGUCCAAAAGUACAUUUUUACACUCUUGACCUCGGAUCAGGUAGGGAUACCCGCUGAACUUAAGCAUAUCAAUAAGCGGAGGA
RNAcentral lists this unclassified non-coding RNA (337 nucleotides) under soil metagenome. Its description in RNAcentral is "partial contains 5.8S ribosomal RNA, internal transcribed spacer 2, and large subunit ribosomal RNA". The stretch from base 1 to 120 matches the Rfam family "5.8S ribosomal RNA", at positions 35 to 154 of the family's 154-position model. The record is from RNAcentral.